UACGUAUUGUUGGAACAACAAAUUCUGAUUUCUAUCAAAUCAGCGAUUUCGUAAAAGUAACAAGAAAAAAAUCGUAACAGCUGAGCUAUUGUCGUGCCAAAAUACUCAAUUCAAUAUCGGCGGGGAGAUGUUGAAGUUUUUGUUUACGUUUGGAACCGGGUUCUAUGCUGGUGCAUAUGCAGCGCAAAACUAUGAGAUUCCAAAAGUAGACGAUCCAUCACGUGUGUAUGCACGAAUUGUAGAGUUUUUGGAUCAAUACCGAAAGAAAUGAUUUGACGCCACCGUUGUCGCCGCCGCUGUCGUUGCUGCGAUAAGCCCAAACAAGAAGAAUGAUAUCAACUGUUUUAUAAGCAUCCAAUGUUUUUCUAAGGAAUUGUAGACUUAUGCCACUGUUGUUGCAACAAAUUGCAAUAAAAUUAGAGUUAAAUAAUCAAAAA
Sitodiplosis mosellana (orange wheat blossom midge) is the source of this 437-nucleotide long non-coding RNA. RefSeq lists it as uncharacterized. The transcript is spliced from 3 exons. The record is from RefSeq and is a predicted model, not a curated record. Lineage: Eukaryota; Metazoa; Arthropoda; Insecta; Diptera; Cecidomyiidae.